GAGUAAGUAUUUUUUUUUUUAACCCAUUUAAAAGUAGGGGUGGCCUCUCGGCUUAGCAGGCAGUAACACAUAUUGAAAUGAUGGUGUGGAAUAGAAACCCUAAGAAAUCCCAAUCCCAUGUAUGCUUUUUGUCUACAAAUGCUUACUAGAUGGUCUUUGAAAUUUUAUUGGGAAAUUCUGAACUCGGAAGAAGUAGUGUUGUUACUGUAGAAGCAGUACCCACUGACACAAUGAAAGAACGAGAGACAUUAGUGGUCAAAGAAAACCCCACCACCUAUAAUUUCUGUCUACUGUGUCUGCAGCAGUAAGUAUGCUUCUCUUCUCUUCUCCUUUCUUGUAUUAAUUGAGAGAGAGAGAGAAGAGUGAGCUCUGUUAUCCAAUAAUCUAUCUAGUGCUUUGCCAGAUUUGUAGCUUUCGUUAUUUUCUCUUCUCUGACUCUCACGAGGAGAGGACAGUGACAUUUCAAUUUCUCUCCCUCUUCUCUUCCGUGAUUUGUGCACUUCUUUUCUAUUACUUUUCAUUUUUAUUUUUCUCUUCUUCACUUUUUUCUAUUUUAUUUUAUUUUUUACUUUUCUUUUUCAUGUAACGCAACUGUUGGUCGUUGUUGAAGCAUCAGACUUAGGGCUUUUGAAGAUUUACAGCUGUGUAAAUCAAAAUAUUGUUCAAGACUAAACCCUAGUUACUAGAAUUAAAUCGGUAAGUGAACCCCAAGUUUUUAUGGGGAUUACUCAUUCUUUCGUUAUUUAUACUUCUAAUAACUCAGUAAGUUGUUUUUUUUUUUGGUCAUUUUAACAAGAUUAAUCUGUUCUGCUGCACGCUAUCUGUUGUUUUGAUCUCUCAUAACGAUGGCAAGAAAUUGUUGAUGCAUGAUUAAUUUUCUUGGUUUUGUUAUUAUUAUUAAUCUUAUUUUGAUUGUUUGCUUGAUCUAAUUUUGAAUGAGUGGCAUUCCUUCAUCUAGCUUCUACCCCUCGGGCUUAGUGGGUUCUCUGCUCUCCUCUCUUUACGAAAUUGCGAGUUGUCUAAUCAUCUUUCUCUUGUCAUUUCUGUAUUAGGGUUUGGUGCAAGCAUUUCCUUUCUUUGGAAACUUUUUUUAUUUUUCAAAUUAUUACCUUCUUUGGAAACUUAUUCCUUCUCUUCUUAAAUUAAUGUUUCAAAGUUUUGGUAUACGUUUCCUUUUAAAAUUUGCAGCAGAACUUAAAUCGACUCCUAUCUUUUAGACUUAAUUUUUCUGGUGGUUGUUUUCCUAUUGACUUAGAUCUAGUAAUUCAUGUAUUUUAUAAUAGGCUAUGUUAAGAAAAUAUGCAUCAAUGUGAGUAUUAGAAUAUCUUCUUCAUAUUGAUGACCCAUUUCAUCCUUUAAUUUUCUCAAAAAUUAAAUCCAUUUGAAAUUGAUGAAAAACUAAUAGCUUAUAGAUCUUUCAAGUGCACUUAAAUAAAUAAUUUAAGAGAGCUUUCUUCAGUCCACUCAUGGAUGAGGCAAGGGUUUGGAUUAGCUGCCGACUCAUUCAUUCAAACACAGUAGAAAGAGGAGCAUUUUGGUUAUCCUAUUGUGAAUGUGUGAAUGAAGCGGGAGAUAAUAUUCAUCCUUUCUUUUCUGUGCUUGGACUGAAGGGAGCUCCUUUUUGUUAUCUGUUUACGGUUUCUUUUUUCAAUUGUUGCAUCUAAUCACCAAUUAAAAGACAACUUGGCCGGGAGAUUUCUUUAGCCUUGAUUCGGUACGGUUUCUAAUUAAAAGCUGUUUAAAUUACCAAUUUGUUUAUGUAAUUAAUUUGAUGAGUUAAGUGUCUAGCCCUCCAUUUGAUAUAAACUUUCUAGUCUUGUGCUUACCUUUAAAUUGUUGUUGUAAUGAUCACAUUCUUCUUUGAUUUUACUCAAUUUGAAUAAAUCUUUUUCUCCCUUAUUUUAGUUGCAUGCCACUGGGCUAGGGCACUUUAUCAGUGACUGUUAAAUGAAAAUCUUAUUGUUGCUGAUGAAUUGCAAUUAAGCUAGAGCCUUCAGCAAUGGGAGAUCCUUUUCUCCAUCAAUUAUUUUUUGUUUUGUUAUUAAGAUUUCAAGUUUCAUUCUGUGCACACGAUGAGUACCGAAAAAUUUGCUCUUCUCAUCCUUAUUUUUCUUGAAUAUUUUAUUGUUAAUCAGUCUUUUCCUUACAAUUUACUUGCUUGAUAAUGCAGGCCGGCAUAUCUUUCUCUUCCAUCGGUUCAUUAAUUUGAGUGAAAAAGGAUAUUUCCUCUGUAUGAAUCAUAUAUAAUAUAAUUUGCAUUUGCAUGUGCAACUUGUUAAAUUUUAGAUGAAAUUUGGCAACCACAUAAGGAUAAUGAUAUUCCCUUGUCUUUUUAUCUUCAUCAGUGUCUCCUUUGCCUGCAGUCUCUCUUGAUAGGGUACAUGGUAGAAUUAUUUUGGUGUUGACAUUUCAUACAACAAAAAUAUUGAUAUUCACUGGUUCAAUCUUUCAUUGGAGUUCUUUCUUCCUUCCAAAAAAAUAUGAAGUUGGGGUAGUUUUUUAAGCUAUGUUCUGCAUAUCUCUGAAUAUUACUAUAAAUAUAAGAAUUUAAAUUUUCAAUAUAAAUCCUAAAUUAUAAUAUAUUUAUAGAUUAUAACCAUUAAGGGAAAGAAAGGAAUUAAAAAAAGCCACCCCAUUCAAAUUUAUAAGCUAGAUGUUCAACAUCAAUUGAUAAGAAAUUAUUAUAAGCAAAUUAAAACUGGAAGUCACCAGCAUCUGGAUAUCAUAUGUAUCUAUGUAUCUAUGUACUUACACACACACACAUUAUCUUUCGAUGUUGGCAUGCCAACGUUUCAAUUUCAAAGUAGCACCUGAAAUCUUAAAUCAUAUUCAUGCAUGAUGUGUGUGUGUGUGUGUGUCUAACUCCCUCUAAAUAUGGGCUGUACAAAGGUUGAAUUAUACUUUUGAAAGAGCUUCCUCAGUUAGGGGUAAAAAUGUGUACAUAAAGCAGAUCAGCAGGGAGCACAGUCGCUCGUCUUUAUUCCUUUGGUCAGGAUCAGCCACAGGCAUCCCAUUCGCAUGCAUUCAGAAAAAAAAUAAUAAUAAUAAUAAUUACAUGCUGCCGCAGUUGCCCCCACCGCCAGUCCCAGUCUCUAUGAAUUGAAUUGGGUUGGAACUUGGACCUAUUUUUUUUUUUUUUCCUUUGUGGGUUUGUUGGCAUUCGUGAUUACACCCUAUAUCUCUCUCUCUAUAUAUAUUUUAAAUUUUUUAUUAAGAUAUAUUGAAUAAAAUAUGCUAACCCUAGAAUUAGGGUUAUUCUGCAGCUUAGUGUUAUCGGAUUAUAUGAUUAAUUAAUACCUUAUUAGGGUACGGAUUAAUCAUAAUUAAGUAGUCACAUUGGAUUUCAUCACUUCUUUUCUUGAGCUAAACUCAAAAAUAACACUUUGAUAUGCAUAUAAAGUAAUAAAAUAUCAAUUAAAUUGAGUCUUGAAAUCACACAUAAAAUUAAAAUAAGCCAGUUCCUUGCUGCGCCUUUCGAGAUUGAAAGUACGCUUGAACUUCAUUUAAAAAAAAAAGGGAAGUUUCAGAGUAAUGGUAAGUGUGCAAAUAAAGGCCAGUGCGAGCCAUUAUUAGGAUCGUAGCCUGCAUUUGAGAGAAAUAAAUUUGAGAAAGAGAAUACCUUCAUGAAUUUAAAAAUUUUUUAUUUCAUGAAGUUGCAAUUAUUCAUUGAUCGAGUAGAAUUCAACUUUAAAAAUUUAUUUGGAAAAUUUUUAGUUUACUCCCUUCAGGUUUACCGUAUUUCUACUUUGAUAGAAUAUGCAAGCGUACGUAUUGUUAGAAACCCCCCAUACUGUUGAUAUUCGGUUAUUUAAAUCAUUAAUUGAUCGAAUAAUUAACUAAAAAGCACUUGUAUCAUAAAAACAAAAUCUCAAUGAGAUGAGCGGUGCAAUAGGUCGUUCAGUCGUUGUGAUGAGCAGGGUAAUAGGUCGUUGUGAUGAUAAAAGAUCUCACUCUCUUUUUUUCCUCAUUUUCUUUUGGACAAAACCAAUAUAUCAUGAUCAUUCUUAUCAUGUGGUAACAUAUUUUUACCAUUUGCAAUAAACUGCAACAAUCACAGACAUCAUUUCUAAAUUUGCAAAAAGGCAUUGAAAACGAAAGAUAGAUUUGUCACAUUGUACUGCAUUACAAUGUAUUGCAUUAAAUUAUAAUACAAUGCAAUGUUUGAUGUGCUAUGGACUAUAUACAUAUAAUAUUGUAAUAUUAUUUUGUAUUAGUAUUAAAAUUAAAUUAGUAUUUUUUAAAUUUAUUAAUGUUUUAGUGUUAUA
Molecule: long non-coding RNA, 4265 nt
Filed under: Citrus x clementina
Lineage: Eukaryota; Viridiplantae; Streptophyta; Magnoliopsida; Sapindales; Rutaceae
Description: Citrus clementina (C. clementina) long non-coding RNA (CCLE_LNC002542)
Rfam family: MIR159 microRNA precursor family (bases 1435-1631)
Source: RNAcentral